Actinomycetales bacterium JB111 is the source of this 59-nucleotide non-coding RNA. The record is from Rfam. NCBI's taxonomy places the organism in Bacteria, Bacillati, Actinomycetota, Actinomycetes, Actinomycetales.
CGCGCUCGCUCUUCACGACGGAUCGUCCGGCACGUACCUGCCGGUGGAGGGAAACAUCA